AGAGUUUGAUUAUGGCUCAGGAUGAACGCUGGCGGCGUGCUUAACACAUGCAAGUCGAACGGAACUCUUUUGAUUGAGGCUUCGGCCAAAUGAUUCUGAGUUUAGUGGCGGACGGGUGAGUAACGCGUGAGUAACCUGCCUUGGAGUGGGGAAUAACGGCUGGAAACGGUCGCUAAUACCGCAUGAAGCAUUGAGAUCGCAUGGUUUUGAUGCCAAAGAUUUAUCGCUCUGAGAUGGACUCGCGUCUGAUUAGCUAGUUGGUGAGGUAACGGCCCACCAAGGCGACGAUCAGUAGCCGGACUGAGAGGUUGACCGGCCACAUUGGGACUGAGACACGGCCCAG
This 343-nucleotide ribosomal RNA is filed under the name uncultured bacterium. RNAcentral describes it as "bacterial SSU rRNA". It matches the Rfam family "Bacterial small subunit ribosomal RNA", at positions 8 to 334 of the family's 1533-position model. The record is from RNAcentral.